GUCAGCUUAUUGGGCAAACUUUCUAUCCUAUUAUUCCCGCACCAAAAGGAUAAGUUAGAGAGACCUAAUAAGAAACUUGCCAGAUGAAAAGGUGAUUCUUAAGGGCAAAAUUUCAAUUAGAUGAAAAACAUUUCACAUUAUUGGAAGGUAAGGAAACAAACACGCCCGAUUUCUAGUCAUCAAUUUACCUUUUAUUAACUAAACAAUAAUAUGUUUACUAAUUUUGUACUAAAAUAAUUGCAAUUGAUAUACUUCAGAAAUCAAAAUUAAAAAAAGAGCAACACAAAAGGAAAGGGCUACCAAAACAAUUCAAGAACCUGACUUUGUUCAGGCGCAAUAAAAGAGCUGCGUCAGGUGUCAAGGAAAAUCCAAUUCAAUAAAACCCAACCCUGCAAAAGUAAAAUUUAAAAAAAAAAAAAAAAAAAGAUCUUCCAGCGGUCAGCGUAGAAAUAUAAAAAAAAUACUUGAAUCACAAAGAAAAUUACAAAAUAAAAUUUCCAAACGUUAUAGAAGUAAAUUAAAAGUGAUACCGAAUGGGAAACAAAUCAAAAAAAGAUACGCACCUGAGUUUUAAGUUGAAACGGCCGACAGAAGGGGAUUAGUACAGAGAAUGUUUAACUGAAGCUUCCCACAAAUGUUAACAAAUGGACUGUAUUAGAAGAAUUGACGACGGUUACCUUAUUGCAAAAUUUAGCUGAAGCUUCAAUGAUGUUAAUCUAUCAUUGCAGUAACAUAGAACCAUGCAAGGAACAUUCUGAAACUGAAAGACGAAGGAUUGGAUAUUUCUAGACCAAUGAUGUGUUUGUCUAUUCUACCCUUAUCUAAAAUAGUCUACGGAGCUAAAUGAGGCAUUGGAAUAAAAGGCAUGUGGCAAAGUUUUACUGAGCUAAAU
This 892-nucleotide long non-coding RNA is filed under the name Nicotiana tabacum (common tobacco). Its description in RNAcentral is "long non-coding RNA (NTAB_LNC014997)". Lineage: Eukaryota; Viridiplantae; Streptophyta; Magnoliopsida; Solanales; Solanaceae. The record is from RNAcentral.